GUCCUUUUAUGGUUCAUAAGGGUGAAGUUUGGGUUUUGAUGCUCAUGUGUGAGAUGUGCCUCCUCAAACCUUGUUACGUCGGCACAUUAGCAAUCUGAUG
Molecule: small nucleolar RNA, 100 nt
Organism: Lemur catta (Ring-tailed lemur)
Lineage: Eukaryota; Metazoa; Chordata; Mammalia; Primates; Lemuridae
Product: small nucleolar RNA U13
Exons: 1
Source: RefSeq, a predicted model, not a curated record